This 73-nucleotide transfer RNA is filed under the name Mus musculus (house mouse). It matches the Rfam family "tRNA". Rfam says of the family: Transfer RNA (tRNA) molecules are approximately 80 nucleotides in length. Their secondary structure includes four short double-helical elements and three loops (D, anti-codon, and T loops). The record is from Rfam by way of RNAcentral. Lineage: Eukaryota; Metazoa; Chordata; Mammalia; Rodentia; Muridae. RNAcentral also lists the same sequence under 1 other name.
GGGGAUGUAGCUCAGUUAGCAAAGUGCUUGCCUAACACACAGGAAGUGCUGGGUUCAAGUCCCAGCACUCAUA